CUGGUGUACCAGUUGUGCCGCCAGGCGCAUCGCUGGGUAGCUAUGAACGGCAGGGAUAAACGCUGAAAGCAUCUAAGUGUGAAGCCCCCCUCGAGAUGAGAUUUCCCAUUCCUAUAUGGAAGUAAGAUCCCUGAGAGAUGAUCAGGUAGAUAGGCUGGAAGUGGAAGUGCAGCGAUGCAUGGAGCGGACCAGUACUAAUCGGUCGAGGACUUAACCAAG
This 219-nucleotide ribosomal RNA is filed under the name Lacticaseibacillus paracasei. RNAcentral's name for it is "Lactobacillus paracasei partial 23S ribosomal RNA". It matches the Rfam family "Bacterial large subunit ribosomal RNA", at positions 2709 to 2925 of the family's 2925-position model. Lineage: Bacteria; Bacillati; Bacillota; Bacilli; Lactobacillales; Lactobacillaceae. The record is from RNAcentral.